This is a long non-coding RNA of Paramormyrops kingsleyae, 2740 nucleotides long. RefSeq lists it as uncharacterized. NCBI's taxonomy places the organism in Eukaryota, Metazoa, Chordata, Actinopteri, Osteoglossiformes, Mormyridae. The record is from RefSeq and is a predicted model, not a curated record.
GUUGAAAUACCUGGACAGGAAGCUGAGUAUGUAGCCAGUGCCAAUUGUGCGGUGAGGCAAUGUGAGGAACAGCUAUCAGCUGAGAGGACAGAGCCCUGGAAAACGUCUCACUCACUGUCUGUAAGGCAAUGGUUCACUGGCAUUCACUGGCAAUGGUUUGCAGACUUCGUGCAGAAGGUAAGAAAAAUCAGUCAAAAAAUCUGUUUUGUUAAGUGCACAAAUAAUUUGACUUUCAAACUUUGAUGGCAUUUUUGCUUUUGAGGAACAAUGAAUCCGCAUCAAUCCAUCCAUCCACCCACCCAAUUCUGUGGGGGGUCUGGAAUUUAUUCCAGGGCAGGGGGACACAAUGGGUAGGAUGUCAGUCCAUCAGAGGACAUACACACACACAGUCACACACACAAACAAAAUUGCAGACGAUCACACACUUUUGGGACACUGGUUUGCCUAAAUGCAUGUUUUUGGACUGCAUAUGGAGACUGGAAUACAUGGGCAGUUCAACUGAAGCUUUAGACUCAAGUUACUGCUGUAAAUUGAAUUGGACCAGAGCUUCUGUUCCCGUUUGUCAUUCCAGCAGGUAAGUUCAGAAACAGGAACUGCAGCGUUGAGAACAUACUGAGGUGUGUAACACAUUUAUAAUGUUACUGUCCAACAACCACAUACAGUACAUGUUUAUCUAUCUAUCUAUCUAUCUAUCUAUCUAUCUAUCUAUCUAUCUAUCUAUCUAUCUAUGUCUCUGUCUGACUUAGGAUUCCCUUCAGAGAAUUAACACACUUUUUUUUUUUAUCCUUUCGGCGAAGCUCCUUAGUAAUUAUACCAUUCCAGUGUCACUGUUCCAGAAUGAUUGGCAUUCCAGUGGGUUUAGAACAUUGUAGAGUUCAAAUUAUGUUGUGAACUUACUGUGGGGCAGGACUAUUGGCGCCUAAUGAAAGAAGAGGGCAUGUGGCCUUCAACACAUAAGUAUCUAUCUGACACGGGCCAGCUGAGGUGCCAGGGGUGAUGCACAGGAUGAAGACCAGCCCAAGCCGGGAAUUACACUACAUGACUGAAGGUUGAUCAUCUACCUGUAUAUUUGCACCACGUCCAUCUGAAAUUAUCAGCAUUUCACCUACCCUUCCAUUCCUCUUCCAGCCACAUAUCCUGGGGGGGGGCAGCAUAGGAGAUGUAUGAAAAUAAAUACAUGAUCAGAAAUAUGGCAUGCUACAAAUAACACUAUGAUAUACAUUAUCAGAAUAGGCUGACCAAAUAAAGCAGAUUUCAUUUUUAAUGGUCGGGAAUGAUGGAAGCACACACAUGCUGUCAGAUAAAUUGAUUUAUAAUGACACAAAAAUGACAGUGAUAAUGUGGGCUGGCGAAUGUACUUUCCCUUUAUCACUGGCCUGUGGAAUAGAGCCAGUUGAAAUCUUUAGAUCUCUGUCUACAGUGAGCCGGCAGGAGGUAGAACGGCAGCAAAGGGCUGGAUUUGGGUAGGCGCUUGCGUUGCCAUGGCGAUUGAUUACCUGCCCCAAGUCUUACAUCCACCGUGGUUAAUGAAAGCCAGCUGGGCCCCGAUUGGCCUCAUUUUGUUAUUGGGGCUUAAACAGGUCCCACUGGGUUGUUGUGGGAGACUUUGGAAGUCUGGGAGCCGCUUCUGAUAGCUGAAGGAGCAGCUCAGCGUUCAGUCUUCUGCCACCUUCCCCUCCUCAGCUCUGCUCUGCUGUCUGUUUCUCCCCAUCACCUUCAGCUCUGUACAUUCUAUGCAAUCAAAUUCAUUCCCUGGGAAGAACGGCUCUCCAAUCAAAGUCCAGCUGCAAAAAUGUUUUAUUUCCAAACGCCGAAGGCAACAAGGAAUCCGCUUCCCUGCAGACCCUCACCAAAGCCCCGCCUUGUCUGCCGUUGCGCUGAUAUUGACAGGCUGCUCUGGGGCUCUCUGAAGGCAGGUCCUUAAAGAAGCACCAUCCAAACGCUCAUUUUUCCUUUAUUCCUUCCUUUUCGUGAAACAACAUAAUUGGUGUUAUCUUUUUGUCCAGUUCAAGGCUGGAAUUAGAUGAUUUCCUUGUGCUUUUUGUGUGUUUCAUCUACUUUUUCAAAGACGUGAUUGGGGUCCGUUAGUGUCUCUCGGCCGGCCUUCAGCGGGUUCCUGCUGUGGACUGGCUCUCUGUCCCGGGCCUCGUGCUCACUUCCCUGGGAUGGGCGUCCGCCUCGCUUUGACCUUGCUUGGGAUAAGAAAUUCAAAGUAAUUCCAAGUGUUCACAGUGCUCAUUAUUUUAAUGUUAAUAUUGCCAUUGUAAGAUGUUGAAAACUGCCAUUUGCUCCUUUCCUAUGCGUAAUGUCAUACAAAUAAAGCUAAUGUAUGCAUCUCCUUUGCCCCUGGUGGCUUGUUGUGAGGUCAGCGGAUAUUUGCAUCCAAGCACGGACGGGAUAGGGAUCUCUCAUUUCCUUAGUUUGGGACUUGACUGAUUUUUGUGAAGGUUGUCUUUUGUGCCCGUUCCUUCACCCCAUCAAAUUAUUGACUGGAACAGCAUCAAACACUCCAUGCUGUGAAAGCUCAUGUUAUAUAAAUGCAUUUUGCAGGUAAUGCUGUCUAUUAUGCCGAUUCUCUGGUCUGCCUGUUCAAACUACUUAGGUAUCGCUGCUAUCUGUCUUAUCCACUGUUUAUUUGAAACUGACAUCUUACCCUGGUUUGAUGUUGACACACCUGAAAUCAAACGAUGCUUUAUUUUCCAUUUACACAAAUAUGACUACAGGUACCCUGGAAUGUUUC